UACGUAGGGUGCGAGCGUUAAUCGGAAUUACUGGGCGUAAAGCGUGCGCAGGCGGUGCACCAAGCUCGAUGUGAAAGCCCCGGGCUUAACCUGGGAAUUGCAUUGAGGACUGGUGUGCUCGAGUGCGGCAGAGGGGGGUGGAAUUCCACGUGUAGCAGUGAAAUGCGUAGAUAUCAGGAGGAACACCCGUGGUGUAGACGGCCUGCUGGACCGUGACUGACGCUGAGGCACGAAAGCGUGGGGAGCAAACAGG
RNAcentral lists this ribosomal RNA (253 nucleotides) under uncultured bacterium. Its description in RNAcentral is "partial 16S ribosomal RNA". It matches the Rfam family "Bacterial small subunit ribosomal RNA", at positions 524 to 776 of the family's 1533-position model. The record is from RNAcentral.